RNAcentral lists this small RNA (589 nucleotides) under Pongo abelii (Sumatran orangutan). RNAcentral describes it as "retained intron". Lineage: Eukaryota; Metazoa; Chordata; Mammalia; Primates; Hominidae. The record is from RNAcentral.
AGACCGCGCUGGGUUGCCGCCGCCGCUGCCGCCAUCGUGCCAGCCCCUCGGGUCUCCGUGAGGCCGGGUGACGCUCCAGAAUGGGAGACAAACCAAUUUGGGAGCAGAUUGGAUCCAGCUUCAUUCAACAUUACUACCAGUUAUUUGAUAAUGAUAGAACCCAACUAGGCGCAAUUUACAUUGACGCAUCAUGCCUUACGUGGGAAGGACAACAGUUCCAGGGGAAAGCUGCCAUUGUGGAGAAGUUGUCUAGCCUUCCGUUCCAGAAAAUCCAGCACAGCAUCACCGCGCAGGACCAUCAGCCCACUCCAGAUAGCUGCAUCAUCAGCAUGGUUGUGGGCCAGCUUAAGGUAAUGGUGCUGCCACAGUGGUAGGGAGGGGUGGGCAGGCAGAGGAGAGUCUUGUACCCCUGCUUUCCCUGUGGAUGUGACCUGCUUAUCUAGGGACACCCAGACAAAGUGACUGUCUGGAGCUGUGUAGUUCAGUAUGCUAGCCAUUAGCCACAUGUAGGUGGCAAUUUUUAAGUUACAUUAAUUAAGAUUAAAUAAAACGUACUUCUUCGGUUGUACUAGCCAUAUAGAACAUUUUU